UACACCUUGACAAUCCUUUCCAAUCAACUUGAUGUGUUGUGUGCUAAUCCAUCAAAAUUUAUACUUUUGAUCCGAUGAAAAUAAAUGUCGCGAAGAGGGUGAUGUCGCUGAUGGUUGGUUCUCUUCCUCCUUGUGAGUAUUUAAUGGUACUGCAAUUAAUAUCAACCACAUUACAGUUGAGGCAGGCAAUUAAUGGUGCUUCAGCAGGAAGAAAUAUUGGAUUAUCUCUUGGAGUCUGCAGCGGGAUAUCUUAUGGGUAGAAAGUGUCGGGAGAUGAAUGGCUGGGAUCUUCAAUUAGUGUGCAAGUGCCUAGUUAGAGCAUGGGAUUUGUUGCGUGUGUUGCAUUCAGUGCAAAUGGUGAAAGUCCUUCUCUUUCUUGUCAUUUCAAAGCAAUGGAAGAGAGAAUUAUCCUUCACCGAUGUGUAUUAGUUGUAACUCUAUCCAACUUCUGUCAGAUCAUCUUUGACUAUUCUAUCUAUCUUUUGAUUACCUUAAAGAGCUUAAAGAAUGGCAGCAUUAAUCCUUUAGCAACAUUGAGUUGUCGUUUCAUUUCCACGAGCAAGGAGUAAAGGUGAAGAAUUGUGGUGUCUGUUUGUUUCUCAAUCAGUAUACUUCGUCAUCACAAUCUUCUACCGAUUUUAUUGUUUCAAGCGAAGAAUGUCCAGGUUUCAGUUGAUGUGCACCAAGAGGAGAGCGAACUGAUUGGAAGAUGCAGGAGUAUACUUUAAAUGAAGAAGAACUCAGGGGACGGGCAAAUGUGCAGGAUUUUUAUGCCCUUUACAAGCUUUGCAAAAAAAGGUGAAAUGGAUUUCAUGGAAAUUGAUCUCGGUCCACAGCCUAAUUUCUCCGAGACGGUGUGACGCGGGACACAAAUCCCAGCUAAAUUAUUUUAAUUGUAAUAAUUAUUUAAUUGUUAAUUUUCUUUAGGACUUUUUAGUUUUAUUUAAUUAGGCAUGUGGUUUCCUAGGAAAUUAGUAAUAAUUCUAGAGUUUUUUGUUUUCUUUCUUAUUCGGUUUUUUUUAGACUUUCCAAAUCAAAAAUAGUCCUACUGCUCUCCCUCGUGAACUUGUAUCACUUUCCCAAAGACAUGCUCGUUUUGGUCACCCAUCUCUAAAACUUGUCAAUUGAAUAAUGUCUCGGCAUCAUCUGCUAGUCACAACCGAGCUCUCGUGCUGUUUAUCAUGCAUACUAACUUGGUAAGAGUCAUUGUCUUCUGUUAUGAAUUGACCAAUGGUAAUGAGGGUAUCGGUGAGAGUUUUGACCUUUUGAUAUUUUUUAGAAAUGGAUUGACCACCUUUCUUGAGAGUGGUUAGUUAAAGAAAGAGUUGAAUAAUACUGUUGAUCAAUAGCAAGUCACUGAAGAUAAGCUAGAUUGGGAUAGAAUCCAGAGGAGUUUUCAGAGGUUGAGGGAAAUGUUGUGGUAAGAGGAGGAAUGUGACCUUCAACACAAUCUAGAUAAGGAGUGGCACAUAAAUAAGGAAUUAGAGAGGUCUUUCAUUAGAGGUAGUUGUCUUUGGUAAGUUCAAUUUUAGAAAGAGGAGGGGGUAGAGGAUUGUGGACGGGAGCAGAGGUUGUAGAAUUAAAGGAAGACAUUGGAAGAAGAUAAGACCAGUUUUGCUCUAAUACCAUAAAAGAGUUUCAACGUUUUUGGAAAUUGCUUUGAUGUCUUUUGGAUGCAUGAAGUAUUAUUAUUUAUAGAUUAGUUUGUGACAUCUAUGAUCUGUACAUGGAAUACAUUUUGAAAUUUAUAUUAUGCGGCUGUGUACAUUA
Populus trichocarpa (black cottonwood) is the source of this 1770-nucleotide long non-coding RNA. RefSeq lists it as uncharacterized. The transcript has 2 exons. NCBI's taxonomy places the organism in Eukaryota, Viridiplantae, Streptophyta, Magnoliopsida, Malpighiales, Salicaceae. The record is from RefSeq and is a predicted model, not a curated record.